Molecule: ribosomal RNA, 465 nt
Filed under: uncultured bacterium
Lineage: Bacteria
Description: partial 16S ribosomal RNA
Rfam family: Bacterial small subunit ribosomal RNA
Source: RNAcentral
CCUACGGGAGGCAGCAGUAGGGAAUCUUCCACAAUGGGCGAAAGCCUGAUGGAGCAACGCCGCGUGGGUGAAGAAGGUCUUCGGAUCGUAAAACCCUGUUGUUAGAGAAGAAAGUGCGUGAGAGUAACUGUUCACGUUUCGACGGUAUCUAACCAGAAAGCCACGGCUAAAUACGUGCCAGCAGCCGCGGUAAUACGUAGGUGGCAAGCGUUAUCCGGAUUUAUUGGGCGUAAAGGGAACGCAGGCGGUCUUUUAAGUCUGAUGUGAAAGCCUUCGGCUUAACCGGAGUAGUGCAUUGGAAACUGGGAGACGUGAGUGCAGAAGAGGAGAGUGGAACUCGAUGUGUAGCGGUGAAAUGCGUAGAUAUAUGGAAGAACACCAGUGGCGAAAGCGGCUCUCUGGUCUGUAACUGACGCUGAGGUUCGAAAGCGUGGGUAGCAAACAGGAUUAGAUACCCCGGUAGUC